RNAcentral lists this ribosomal RNA (425 nucleotides) under uncultured bacterium. RNAcentral describes it as "partial 16S ribosomal RNA". It matches the Rfam family "Bacterial small subunit ribosomal RNA", at positions 354 to 796 of the family's 1533-position model. The record is from RNAcentral.
GUGGGGAAUAUUGGGCAAUGGGCGAAAGCUUGACCCAGCAACGCCGCGUGAAGGAAGAAGGUUUUCGGAUCGUAAACUUCUAUCCUUGGUGAAGAUAAUGACGGUAGCCAAGAAGGAAGCCCCGGCUAACUACGUGCCAGCAGCCGCGGUAAUACGUAGGGGGCAAGCGUUGUCCGGAAUGAUUGGGCGUAAAGGGCGCGUAGGCGGCCCGGUAAGUCUGAAGUGAAAGUCCUGCUUUUAAGGUGGGAAUUGCUUUGGAUACUGUCGGGCUUGAGUGCAGGAGAGGUAAGCGGAAUUCCCGGUGUAGCGGUGAAAUGCGUAGAGAUCGGGAGGAACACCAGUGGCGAAGGCGGCUUACUGGACUGUAACUGACGCUGAGGCGCGAAAGUGUGGGGAGCAAACAGGAUUAGAAACCCUUGUAGUCC